UACGUAGGUGGCAAGCGUUGUCCGGAUUUACUGGGUGUAAAGGGUGCGUAGGCGGGAACGCAAGUCAGGCGUGAAAUCCACCGGCUUAACUGGUGGGCUGCGUUUGAAACUGCGUUUCUUGAGUGGAGUAGAGGUAGGCGGAAUUCCCGGUGUAGCGGUGAAAUGCGUAGAGAUCGGGAGGAACACCAGUGGCGAAGGCGGCCUACUGGGCUUUUACUGACGCUGAGGCACGAAAGCGUGGGUAGCAAACAGG
Molecule: unclassified non-coding RNA, 253 nt
Filed under: uncultured Eubacteriales bacterium
Lineage: Bacteria; Bacillati; Bacillota; Clostridia; Eubacteriales
Description: contains 16S-23S intergenic spacer region
Rfam family: Bacterial small subunit ribosomal RNA
Source: RNAcentral